This 560-nucleotide ribosomal RNA is filed under the name uncultured eukaryote. RNAcentral describes it as "bacterial SSU rRNA". It matches the Rfam family "Eukaryotic small subunit ribosomal RNA", at positions 1 to 565 of the family's 1831-position model. The record is from RNAcentral.
UCUGGUUGAUCCUGCCAGUAGUCAUAUGCUUGUCUCAAAGAUUAAGCCAUGCAUGCGUCAGCAUAAUGUCUGAGGAAAUGAAUCUGCGAUUGGCUCAUUAAAACAGUGGUAAAUUACUUGGAGAUCCUUUCUACACGGAUAGUCGUAGCAAUUCUAGAACUAAUACGUGUGCCAAUGCCGAACUUCGUGGAUAGGUUUUUCUUAUUAGUUGCAGAAUCGAUACAGGCUCUACCUGGUUUACUUGUGGUUCGUAAUAAGUGGGUGAUUGCAUGGCUAAGGCUGGUAAUGACUCAUUCAAGCCUCUGACCUAUCAGCUUGUGAUGGUAGGGUCUUGGCCUACCCUGGCAUUGACGGGUAACGGAUAAUUAGGGUUUGAUUCCGGAGAGGGAGCCUGAGAAACGGCUACCACUUCUACGGAAGGCAGCAGGCACGCAAAUUACCCACUGGGCGAAGCCCGAGGUAGUGACGAAAAAUAACGAUACCGGUCUCAUCCGAGGCCCGGUAAUCGGAAUGAGUACACUUUAAAUCCUUUAACGAGGAACAAUUGGAGGGCAAGUGGU